Molecule: long non-coding RNA, 4722 nt
Organism: Coturnix japonica (Japanese quail)
Lineage: Eukaryota; Metazoa; Chordata; Aves; Galliformes; Phasianidae
Source: RefSeq, a predicted model, not a curated record
UAGGUCUGCAGAAUGAAGUAACCAAUGUUUCUCUUAAUUCGGAAACUCAAAGAUAAACGCAGAUUUUACAGACUCAUCAGAGAAGAGGGUCUCUUCAGAGUCUGCUCAAUUGGCUCAGAAUAUUAGGAAGAAAGGAAGCUCUACACAAGUUACAGUAUUAUAUCAGACAUCAUGGGAGAACAUCUGUUCAGUACCCAGUUGAAACUGCCAUUAUGGUUUGUGUCAAUAAGAUGUGGGCUUGCACGGGAGACUCCAACCCUAUAUCUGGAUGCACCAGGCAUGAGAGGAGCGUUGUUCCAAAGUUCUGUGGAUGAGGAAACAAACAAAAUGGAGCCCUGUGGAUUUCCAGUGUGAGUGAGUGUGAGAGACAAAGGCUCUUAGCAAGGAAACGGGCUGACCAGAUGGGGCAUCAUGCUUCCAUGCUUCCUCUGAUUCCAGUCAUGCCCUUGAUUGUGCCUGGGCGAAGCCAAAGAAGCUAGACUGAGCAGCAGCACACAAGUUCCAAAUCCUAGCAAAGAGCAAGUGUGCAACAGAGAAAAAAAAACAUGUAGAAGAGCUUCUGAUGAAUGUUCUAAUUUUGAAAUGAAAGGAGAAUAAGAAGAAAAACUCAGAUCAUCACAUACCCUCUCCUUCUCUUCUAAAAAUGUCCUGCCAACCCAGGACCCUUCCCAGAAGCCAGCAGGCUGGGCAUUCCUACAGACCUAACACACAGCCUGUUUGCCAUGCGGAGCUUCCUCUCCCCAUCUGGAGAAGGUUUCUUUCUUCAUGUGACAAUGUUCCACCAGCAAGGUCCAGAAUAGAAACUAGGAGGCCUCCUAUCCUAGAAGGAAGCCUCUGGUGUUGAAGCUUUGGCAGCUGUGUUCCCUGCUGAGCUGCUCAGUGCAGAACCACAGUGUCUGCUGGACCUGCCUUCACCCAAAACACAAACUACUCCAAACCUGGAAAAGACUUCUGCUGUGGUUUCACUAAUGCAAAACUGUUUAAAGAAAGAAGUCUGCAGGUGGGUUGCCUGGUUGAAUCACAGAAUCAUUAAGUUUGGAAAAGACCACUAAGACCAUCUAGACAAACCAUCAGCUCAUCAUUGUCAUGGCAAUCUGUAAUGCAGCCAACAUGUAAGAAAAGAGCAAGAGAGCAAGAAGAUCAUCAGGAAGAUGUCUGGUAGCUCUAAGGAGAUGUGUUUAGAAAGAUCUCUGGAUGAAGAAACCUUUCAUAGCUGCACAGCACUGCUGCAGUUAUGACCCAUAGAAGGGGAAAAGACAAUCUAGGGUUCUUUCCUCCCAGCUGCCUGAUGAGCCUUGAUUCUAAACACUGGCACUGAAUGAUAAACUGUCAUAGGAACUGGAUAAGAUGAAGUACUUCUGGGUUGUCAUUCUUGGUAGAAUUUGGUCUGUGUAACAGACAAAAGCCUACUGCUGCUUUUAAAGGCCUAGAUAACCCUGCUGGCUCAGAGCACUGAUACUUGCUAUGGGCAGGGAAUGGCAGGGUGUCUGCUCCUGCUGGCACUGAUGGUUAUUACAGAAGCACACGAACAGCAGAGGCUGGAACUAGUGCAAAAUCUGGGACACCCUUCCCAAUUUCUCUAGCAUAUGGCAUGAUCAUACCACAUUUUCCAAAUAUUCAGCCAAUGACUGUUCAAAACCUUGUAUUUUCUGCAAAGGCCGUGGGGAAUACUCUCCUGUUCUGUCUACCAGGAGGGGAACUAUUUGUGAACAAAAUUAAUACCCACUGCAUGUCAGAUCCUUUCCUGUGGCCCUUCCAUUUCUCUGCAGCAAGAGAAGGGCACACAUACCCACUCCCUCUGCUCCCUCUGCAGGUUUUGCAGGCUAUUUGAUGACCAGGCAGUGGACCAGAGCACUUACAAGUGUUUGGGUCUGCUCUUGUGAACAAAGAGCAACAGAAGGAAGCAGAUCUUCCCAGUUCCAUGCCUUGCUCUGCCACAGGUUUUGCUGUGCCACCCCCAAGAGGCUGCCACCUCUUGGUGUCUGUAGAUGUACAGUGGGGCUAGCAGAAACCUAUCAGCCCACAGGUGGUGGGGAAAACCUUUUAGUCAAUGUUUGUACAGCACAGAAACCUUGCUGCUAUCUGUCACACAGAGACCAUAAUACUACCUGAGAACAAAUUAUAUUCAUGCAUAAUCAAAAUCACAUUCAGCUCAGCCCCGAUUCAAGAAUCCUUUUUGGCUGGUUGUGAUGUCCAGAGCAGAGAGAGCACAGCUUGAUUUCCAGAGCCCAGGCUGAGCUGGCAGAGCUGGCAGGUAGAAAUAUCUUGUUUUGACUGGUAAACUGAGCAAAUUUGACAUGGAAACCACUGAGGGAGAAUAAAUAUGGAACAACAAGAUGUAAUUUUUACAGAGGCUCUUUUCCAACCAUAACCGUACUCCGAGCCAUCCCAGACUUGAACUAAGAGGUCCUGAGGUCUGGGGAAGGAAAUUCAAGCCAUGGUAGGUUUGGCUGAGGCUCACCCCUGUCACAAGCGCAGACAUCUUUAAGUGCACAAUUACUUAACGGCACUAUUCCUUCAGGACUACAAAGAGCAGAAGAAAUAGAAAGGAACAGAAAAGGGGGGGAGGGAAGAUCAGAGAAGAAAAAGAGUUUUUAGCUCUGACACAGAACCAAGAAUAAAUGCCAGAAUCAGAAGAAUAGCCUAUAGGAAUUGUACGAUCAGUGUUCUCCAAAGCUGCCUGAAAUUCAUACCCAGCUCAAAGCAAAUAGCGGUGCUCCUACAGCCUGGGAAGAAGGGCUGACUGAGCCAAGCUCAGCUGCUUUCCAUUUAAUGGGAACAGGAUCUGUCACUGGAUCAACAGAACACCUGUUUAUUGGACAGAUCUGUUCAUGCUGUGGGGCUCCACCAUCCAGCAUUCCUCCCUUUCUCACAUACAUGAUGUGAAUUCCUUUAAUGGGUUUUAUGCCAUCAUUAAGCACAUCAUUUUCCCUGUCCAUGUUUCUAGCGAUGUUUUUAACAAGUGCAUGAUAUUUCACAGGAAAUAUCAAGAUAUAAAUAGACACUUAACAAACCCCACCAAGGGCUAUCUGCAAGAAUGGAUCUUAGUCUUCCACACCAAGUGCUGUCACUAUGGCUGAAGAACUGUUACAUCAGUUCAGCCUGACACUUCAGUAGCCUUCUGCUUAUUUAUUUUUGAAGCAGACAUAGGUGAGAAAACUGAUGUGCACACACAACCUGUGUUUUAUGUUUUGUGCUCUAUGGGUUAAGAACAUUCUUCUGCUUCAUUGGGAUGCUGGAAUUCUUAAGAAAUGAACAACACGUAUAUGUAAACUGCCCUGAUAAACAGCUCUAGGGCUGUGUAUUUUGAGUAAUCAAAAGGACUUGUACUAAUGAGUUUUGCACUCUUUUUGCAUUUUGCUUGUGGUGACACUCCCUAGAAGGCACGAACUGUCUCAGAAAUGGUUGGGUGUUACAUUGAUAUUAAUCAAGGUUGAAGAUGAGUCCAGGUCAGAUGGCAAACAUCCUCCAGACUUGCUACAAACAACAACCUGCUUUUGAUUAGUUAAUUAAUUAAGAACCAUUGAAAUUUUUAUGCCAAUCAGUAACUUGAAUACAUUGUAAUCUGUAAUAAAAGAGGGGAAAAAGAAGUGACUGAGAGAAGAGGCAGAAUUCCUGGAAUUAAUGUAAAAAGGAUGAUGACAUCUUUCUUUUAGAGACAGAGAGAUCUCAGAACCCUUCACCAGCUCUGGCGGCUGUGUCAGGGGUGGGAUGGAGUGGCACAGAAAGACUGCACCAGCCAAUGGGGACAAGGAAGGAGGAGGGCAACUGAACGCAAUAAUCCUACAUGGAAUUUGUCACAGACAGAAGAAUCAACGUCUGUUGCUUUGAAAGUAUAGUGGUUUCAUGGAUGACAGUAAGCCCUUAUGUCUUUCAGUGAAUACUGAAUCCAGCAAAUAACACUCGGUGAUACCGAGCACUUCUCUAGGGCAGUCAUUCAGAUUGCUCAGGCACCCAAAUCCAACAUUACUUUGCACUGAGAGUCAGGGGAACCCAUCUCCAUUGCUGUCUUUGUCACACCACCGAGAGCUUCCUAUCAGUGAAGGGUCUUCCAGGGCCACAGACGGAUGCACAGAUAUGUUCAACAUGCAAAAAGGAGUUUGCAAGAUACGCCACAUUGGAGGAUGGGACUAAAAAUUCUCAAAUAUUACUGCACCCCCCCCAAAAAAAUAUGGAUGAAAUAUGAGUGGAAUCAUGCCCACUGCUGAAUGGAAGUUAGACAGGCAGUUCUUAAUUAGAGAGUCCACAGGAUUCUUGUUCAUUCCUCUUCCUUGUUCGGUAGAGGAUGGAUUUGCUCUAAGGAUGACGCAGGAUUAUAUACAGGAGGACAGCGUUGUCAGUGGGGUCCCUGGCUGCUUUGCUGAAAAUCUGAUAGCCAUGCAGUGAGUGAGGGGGAGGGCUCCUGGAAAGGAAAGCUGUUUGCAUCGCUGUGUCCUGUUCUCCAGUGCUGGAUGUAUCACAGUCCUAUACCCAGAUCUUAAAGGUUUUCAUGAACCUUGCCUGUCUACUAUGGCAUGGGGCUGAAUACUUGCAGCCGUGGCUGAUACCAGUAGGCACCAUGCUUUGAACAUGUUACCUGCUCUAUGCAGCACUGCUAAGCAUUCCGUAAAAUCAGGUGGUUUGGCUGGGUACCCCACAGCAGAGGCUACUUUUGACUCCUCAGAGGGGAAGUGUGAGGAUAUUCACACUCUUCUUACAUUUUUGACAGCAAUUAGUUCUGUA